RNAcentral lists this small RNA (479 nucleotides) under uncultured bacterium. RNAcentral describes it as "bacterial LSU rRNA". The stretch from base 349 to 479 matches the Rfam family "Bacterial large subunit ribosomal RNA", at positions 1 to 131 of the family's 2925-position model. The record is from RNAcentral.
UCUAAAGGAUACGAGGGGUUCAGGUGAGAGCCUGGAGCCCGAGCAAACAGGAAACGUUACGCGACACGGCAGACCUAUCACGUCUGGGAGGGUUAAGGGGGGCAGAAAUGCCCGAGCUUGACCUCUCAGGAAGCGGGCUUGUAGCUCAGUUGGUUAGAGCACUCCUCUGAUAAGGGAGAGGCCCCUGGUUCGAGUCCAGGCAGGCCCAUGGGAGAGCGUGCUGCAGCGCCAAAGGCGACGCAGCACCCUACUCCGCGCACAUUAACAAGGGAAUAUGUACGACAUCAAAUCCUAAUGCAUGGCGUUGUGUGUAUCAAACGAAACGACAGCAGUUCUUCGCAUGACAGAAGACAAGCAAAGAAGGGCGAACGGGGGGUGCCUAGGCGUCAGGAGCCGAAGAAGGACGUGGCAUACUGCGAAAAGUGCCGGAGAGCCGUAUGCGGGCGCAGACCCGGCAGUAUCCGAAUGGGGAAACCCGG